GAUGAACGCUGGCGGCGUGCCUAAUACAUGCAAGUCGAGCGAACGGACGAGAAGCUUGCUUCUCUGAUGUUAGCGGCGGACGGGUGAGUAACACGUGGAUAACCUACCUAUAAGACUGGGAUAACUUCGGGAAACCGGAGCUAAUACCGGAUAAUAUUUUGAACCACAUGGUUCAAAAGUGAAAGACGGUCUUGCUGUCACUUAUAGAUGGAUCCGCGCUGCAUUAGCCAGUUGGUAAGGUAACGGCUUACCAAGGCAACGAUGCAUAGCCGACCUGAGAGGGUGAUCGGCCACACUGGAACUGAGACACGGUCCAGACUCCUACGGGAGGCAGCAGUAGGGAAUCUUCCGCAAUGGGCGAAAGCCUGACGGAGCAACGCCGCGUGAGUGAUGAAGGUCUUCGGAUCGUAAAACUCUGUUAUUAGGGAAGAACAUAUGUGUAAGUAACUGUGCACAUCUUGACGGUACCUAAUCAGAAAGCCACGGCUAACUACGUG
This 497-nucleotide ribosomal RNA is filed under the name uncultured bacterium. RNAcentral describes it as "partial 16S ribosomal RNA". It matches the Rfam family "Bacterial small subunit ribosomal RNA", at positions 28 to 507 of the family's 1533-position model. The record is from RNAcentral.